This 336-nucleotide RNase P RNA is filed under the name human gut metagenome. RNAcentral's name for it is "Bacterial RNase P class B". It matches the Rfam family "Bacterial RNase P class B". From Rfam's summary of the family: Ribonuclease P (RNase P) is a ubiquitous endoribonuclease, found in archaea, bacteria and eukarya as well as chloroplasts and mitochondria. Its best characterised activity is the generation of mature 5'-ends of tRNAs by cleaving the 5'-leader elements of precursor-tRNAs. The record is from RNAcentral.
UCUGGGCAAACGCUGUAUACAAGUUAUAUAGAGGAAAGUCCAUGCUCGCACUGUCCAACUUGGAUAGUAGUGUUCGUGUAUAAGGAAAAAAUAACUUAUAGUAGUUUUUAACUAACGGCAUCGAAUUAACCUAAAGAUUAAUCCAUGGUUAUAUUAGAUAUAAAGUGCCAUAGAGACGAGUAAUCAGAAAUGAAGAAAUGGAACGAGGUAAACCCCACGAGCGAGAAACCCAAAAUAUGGUAGGGGAGCUUUUAAUCAGGUAACUAAUUAAAGGAUGCAUUUAAUGCAUAGAUAAAUGUUUGCCGCUUCAUAAGAAGCACAGAACAUGGCUUAUAA